Molecule: ribosomal RNA, 497 nt
Filed under: uncultured bacterium
Lineage: Bacteria
Description: partial 16S ribosomal RNA
Rfam family: Bacterial small subunit ribosomal RNA
Source: RNAcentral
GAUGAACGCUGGCGGCGUGCCUAAUACAUGCAAGUCGAGCGAACAGACGAGGAGCUUGCUCCUCUGACGUUAGCGGCGGACGGGUGAGUAACACGUGGAUAACCUACCUAUAAGACUGGGAUAACUUCGGGAAACCGGAGCUAAUACCGGAUAAUAUAUUGAACCGCAUGGUUCAAUAGUGAAAGACGGUUUUGCUGUCACUUAUAGAUGGAUCCGCGCCGCAUUAGCUAGUUGGUAAGGUAACGGCUUACCAAGGCAACGAUGCGUAGCCGACCUGAGAGGGUGAUCGGCCACACUGGAACUGAGACACGGUCCAGACUCCUACGGGAGGCAGCAGUAGGGAAUCUUCCGCAAUGGGCGAAAGCCUGACGUAGCAACGCCGCGUGAGUGAUUAAGGUCUUCGGAUCGUAAAACUCUGUUAUUAGGGAAGAACAAAUGUGUAAGUAACUAUGCACGUCUUGACGGUACCUAAUCAGAAAGCCAGGGCUAACUACGUG